GGGCUGCGGAGGAGGUCGGGUGACUCUUGAUCCCAGUUCCCAGUGAAAACUGUAGGUCGCCAUCACCUAACUACGCAUGCAGUAGUCUUCUGCCUGCUGCUUACAGCCCGAGAACCCCUUCUCUGAGAGAAUAAAAUCUUUGACCGUUGCC
Molecule: long non-coding RNA, 151 nt
Filed under: Pongo abelii (Sumatran orangutan)
Lineage: Eukaryota; Metazoa; Chordata; Mammalia; Primates; Hominidae
Description: lincRNA
Source: RNAcentral